RNAcentral lists this transfer RNA (68 nucleotides) under Phylloecus linearis. Its description in RNAcentral is "tRNA-Ser". Lineage: Eukaryota; Metazoa; Arthropoda; Insecta; Hymenoptera; Cephidae. The record is from RNAcentral.
AGUUAAUGAACUUGAAUAAGUAUAUGUUUUGAAAACAUAUCAUAGUAUUUAAAUUAUACUAUUAACUU